Molecule: ribosomal RNA, 394 nt
Filed under: uncultured bacterium
Lineage: Bacteria
Description: partial 16S ribosomal RNA
Rfam family: Bacterial small subunit ribosomal RNA
Source: RNAcentral
AUACGGAGGAUGUAAGCGUUAUCCGGAUUUAUUGGGUUUAAAGGGUGCGUAGGCGGAUGAUUAAGCGUGAGGUGAAAUGCCACUGCUCAACAGUGGAACUGCCUCGCGAACUGGUUGUCUUGAAUGCUCCUGCCGUGGGAGGAAUGUGUGGUGUAGCGGUGAAAUGCAUAGAGAUCACACAGAACACCGAUUGCGAAGGCAUCUCACGAAGGGGUGAUUGACGCUGAGGCACGAAAGCGUGGGGAUCAAACAGGAUUAGAUACCCUGGUAGUCCACGCAGUAAACGAUGAUAACUAACCGCUGGGUCGUAGUGAUUCAGUGGCCAAGCGAAAGCGAUAAGUUAUCCACCUGGGGAGUACGACCGCAAGGUUGAAACUCAAAUGAAUUGACGGGG